GUUUGAAUUAUGCUUUCAUUGAAGAUGAAUACCAUCUCAAGUGUCUGUAUACAAGAAAGAAAUACGAAACCCAACACUAAAAACAGGGGCCAGAAUUGGGUUAAAUUAAGAAAUACAAAAGGUUGGCUCAGGUAAGCCGUCUCAAAAGAAUUAAGUAAUAAACAAAGGUGAAAAAUAACAAAAGAAUUGGGUUAGUCCCUUGAUUCAUCCUUAUUGUUUACUGAUAUCAUUUUAAGCACCAGCAGUGCUCCAUCUGCUGCCUGUCUUGACCUGCUGUUGACUGUAAUUGUCAACCCAUGACCAAAAUUCAUUCCUUCCUCUCUGAAAUAGCUUAGGCUACAGGAAUUGGGGUCCUUGGACUAGGGAUGCCCAUAUACGCAAGCCUAGGGGAGACCCUAACCUUUGGACUGGGGCGUGGAGAUGGGAUCGGGCCAUAGUUGCUAAAAGUCCCAGGAGGCACCCUAGGAGAUAGGUUAACCUGUUCCAAUGCUCUUGAUUGCAGCUCUGUAGGGUAGUCCCGGACACAACCAAUGCGCGGUCCAGCCCCAGUGGUCCACUUGCAAGGCAAUCGUUGGGGCCACUCAAAAACAGUUGCCUUCAAGCUGGCAUUGUUAAUUUUAAUGUCUUGCUCUGUAUUAACAGUUGUGUUUGUAGUCUCCUUGGUGGACAAAUCCAUAUCAGUUGUAUUUGUAAUGUUGGGUUGAGAAGCAGGAGCAGAACCCACAAUUGAUUCUUGCUUUUGUUCUUCUUCAACAACGUUUGAAGGACAGUCAUCAUCAAUUGCAUACCUCUUGACAUUUGUGAGAUCUACAUUGUUUUCCUGAAGGAAGCUGAUAAAUUCCCUGAAGUUUUCUUCUGUUGGAUGAUAGUGACCACUGUAUGGCCAGAUUGCCUCAAGAAUUCCAUUGUGGGCAACCAAUCUUCCAGCUGCAGUGGUGGCACCACCAGAUAGGAAACUAGAGUGCUGAAAGGCACCCUUCUUCUUUUGCCCUACAUACAAAGCCCUUGUUGUGCUAAGCACAAAUAUCCAUUUGGAACCCUCAACUGUAUCCACAAGAUUUCCAUUUUCUCUAUAAACAAGCUUCCCAUUUUCAACUAUGACUUCGUAUGCUUCCCUUUCUUUCGGUCCAAGAUAUUUGAUGCACUGGCGUUGUAGAACAGUCCUUGGACAUUUCUCCAGAUUGACUUCCUUACCAUCUCCAACAUCCAACCAGUAGAAGAAUGGCUGGGUGCUCUCACUUUUGAACCACAUAUCAUAAUACAAGUGUAAGUUGUGACCGUACCGAUGGCGAGGAUCAAUAGCUUCAAGCCAGUGU
Molecule: unclassified non-coding RNA, 1316 nt
Filed under: Hevea brasiliensis (rubber tree)
Lineage: Eukaryota; Viridiplantae; Streptophyta; Magnoliopsida; Malpighiales; Euphorbiaceae
Source: RNAcentral